AGUGAACGCUGGCGGUAGGCCUAACACAUGCAAGUCGAACGGCAGCACAGUAAGGGCUUGCUCUUACGGGUGGCGAGUGGCGGACGGGUUAGGAAUACAUCGGAAUCUACUUUUUCGUGGGUGAUAACGUAGGUAAACUUACGCUAAUACCUCAUACGACCUUCGGGUGUAAGCAGGGGCUCUUCGGACCUUGCGCGAUUGAAUGAGCCGAUGUCGGAUUAGCUAGUUGGCGGGGUAAAGGCCCACCAAGGCGACGAUCCGUAGCUGGUCUGAGAGGAUGAUCACCCACACUGGAACUUAGACACGGUCCAGACUCCUACGGGAGGGAGCAGUGGGGAAUAUUGGACAAUGGGCGCAAGCCUGAUACAGCCAUCGCGAGUCGGUGAAGAAGGCGUUGGGUGUGUAAAGACGUUCUGUUGGGAAAGAAAAGCAGCAGGUUAAUACCACGCUGUUGUGACGGUACCCAAAGAAUAAGCACCGGCUAACUUCGUG
This 492-nucleotide ribosomal RNA is filed under the name uncultured bacterium. RNAcentral's name for it is "partial 16S ribosomal RNA". It matches the Rfam family "Bacterial small subunit ribosomal RNA", at positions 29 to 507 of the family's 1533-position model. The record is from RNAcentral.